AUGGGCAGGACGCGGACUCUGCAGCAGCUUGCAUGCCGCCACCCCCCCCCCCAAGAGCUUUACUGCGCACACCUUACCCCAGGCAACACUGCGGGUUCGCUGGUGAUGGCCACCAGGGGGCAAAAGAGAGCAGAACGCCUCGCCUGGGGAAGGAGGGUGGCUGGUGCCAGUGGGCAGUGCCAGCUUCCUGGGCUUACCUGCAAAGCAGGGGCUUACAACGGGGCCUCCCUUGUGGCAUUUUAACUCACUUGGAGCCACGUGCCUAAAGAAUUCUUGUCGUUGCAGGAGACCUCUCCUCCCUGCAUCCAAGCUCUUGCCACACUCUAGUCUGUUUUCUUUGCCGGGUUGCCCCACCUUCCCCUCACCACCCCUUAAGGCCAGAAUUCUGGUUUUCUUUCUGUUUCCCCUAUCACAAAUUAAAGUGCGCUUUAUGACUAAAACUUUCCUUCAAUUGCUGUCCGAAAUUGGUUUGGUGAAGGAGGUCUGGAUGUGUUUUAAACUGACUAGAAUUUUAUUUUAGAGGUGCCUGCUGAAGAAAUAAAAGGUAAGAACUUCAAUCCACUGGCCUAUUCCUAAUUUCCCAGCUUAUCAGGUCCAUAUGUAUGUGUGUUUUAAUGCAUUUAUUUAUAUGCAACACUAACAUGCAUGUACUUAAAGUGUGUUCUGUGAUGGAUUUUGGUCAGUGUCUACCUGUAAAGUCGUCACCGUAUCAAAAUAAGAAAAAAGUAUCUUGCGUCUCUUUUGUAAUCAAUCCCUCAUCUCAAUAUUAAAAACAACAGUCCAUUUUUAAUUUAAAAACAUUUAAAAUACUCAUGCUCCAUUUUUAAUCUGGUUCCUUUUACUCUGUAAAAGUUCUUUCCAGUUCUAUCCACGAUGCUGAGCGCACGCACCAAUGCGGAGUAAACGUCUGCUUUUAUAGAGACAUGCCACAAACUGGUGAGCCACUCACCUUGGAGGACAGCAUGCUUGUUCCUGUGUUUGGGCUGUUACAUAUGAAUUUGCUAUGGACUCUAGUAUAUAUGUCUUUUGUGGAUGUAAGCUUUCAUUACUUUGAACAAGUAGAAAUAGAAUAGCUGGAUAAAAAUGGAAUAGUAUACUUAAUUUCUUAAGAAAUUACUGUAUUGUUUCACAAAAUAGUUUUACUAUUUCUUAUUCCUAAAGUUGCUCCCCAGCCUUGACAACCCUUGCAUUAGUCUUUUACAACUCACACAGUCUCAUUGUGGUUUAAUGACUAAACACUGUGUUUCCAGGAAAUUAUGCAUCUGUCUAUGUACUUUGGUGAGAUGUCCAUAUUGGAGUGUCAGUUUUAUUAUUGCUGAAUUUUUGAAGAUUCUAUAUCCAGCAUAUAAGACUUUUACCAUAAAUGAUUUACAGUGUUUUCUUUCAGUUUGAAAAAUCUCUAUUUUCAUUUUCUUGUCUAUCAAAGAGAGUUUUCCAAUGUUAUCUUUAACAGUUUUUUAAACCCAUGCCAGUGAUAAGAAAUCUUGGCUUAAUUUGAUGUCAGCAAAAAUAUAUUUUGUUUUCUUCUUGCAAUUUUAGUCUUAGGCUUUACAUAUAGGUCUAUGAUUUCUUUUAAAGAUUUAUUUUUUAAAAAUAAAGUUUUUGCACACCAGCAUCAAAAUUUUCCAGCACCAAUUGCUAUGAAGAGCAAUGUUGUUUCUUUGGAAUGCCCUUAUAAUUUUUGUCAAAAGUUCAUUUUUGAAUAUUGCCAUGUUCGGUUGACCUGGUUGUCUUCGGUUAGACCCAGAUCAGAGUGUCUUGAUGACUAUGGCUAUAGAAUUGUUCUAUGAUCUCCCUUCAAGAGAGUUUGGCCACUUUAAAAUCUUUGCAUUUUCUCACAGAAUUUAGAUUCAUGUUGACAGUGCCUGUGGAAACUCUUAAGGUGUUAAUUGAGCUACAUUUAUCCCAGAGAGUGUCCCUAAUUGGGAAGAAUGACAUCAGUUCAGAAUUCAUAAUCUGACCCCAAACACUGCGUUUUCUGGCGUUUUGAGGCCUUCCUUACUAUGUGUCAGCACUGAACUGUUGGUCCCAGGGGAAGAGAUCAGGAGAAACACAGGCAGGCAGAGACUGAGGGAGUGCUGUGCAAGCCUGGGGACUCAGGCAGAGGUGUGAGUUUUCACUUGACACUUUGGAGGAAGUGUGGCACUUGCUGACAGGCUCAUGACUCUCAAUUCUAUGAGAGUGCAGGCCCUGUUGUUUGAAGCCUGUGGGUUUGUGUCCCUCUUGCCUCAGCCUCCAGAACACUAACACAUGGCAGUAAUGUGACUUCCACGAUGAUUGUUUAAGCUCAACACCAAUGAGGGUAGCAUACCCAAGUAAUAUUCAAAUGAUGGUGCAUGUAAUGUAGAGUAAAACUUUCUACUCAAAUAGCUAGGCCAGUACACACAGACUUAUAAUCAUUAAAAAUAAACAUAUCAACAUGGACUUUAACUUUUCCACCUGUGCUUUUAUUUACAAAAAUCUAUUAACAGCGUGUAUCAAAACUCACUCAGGUAAACAAUGUGUGACCUUGUGAUGUGCUAAAAGUAAAGAUAAAUUAUUCAUCACAGCAAUAAUUUGACAAAAAAUUACUAGCUGGAUGUCCCCUAGGUACUGGACACUGUUAGAUCUGAAAGAGGAAAUACCAAAGUUAGCAGAUGAUGACCUUGUGGGGAUUAUAUUAACUGAAUCAUUCAGUUUCUGUCAUUUCUCUGAUUUCACUGCUUCACAAAACUACAGGAAUUUCUAAUAAAAGUGUCAUUAUCCAUUAGUUUUAGAAGCAUUUAUAUUGUAAAAUAGAAUAAAAAGAGGCCAAUGGGGAAAAGACACAGUAGGAUGAGGAAAGCAGAAAAAAAGGAAAAACCCCACCAACCAAGAGAUCAGAAGCAAGAGGUGUACUCCCAGGAACUGGCUCUGCCUGAAGGAGCAUCCCAUAGCAUCAGGCCUGCUUCCAUGACCUUACUUGACCGGUAGCACUUAACCCAGAUAGAAAAUGGAAGACAAAUAAAUUGAAGACUUCUUCAGGGGAUAAAGUUCCAGCCACUGAACAUUUGUCUGUUGCCCCAAUAGCUAUGCAACUCUAAAAGAAGUCAGAUUUUCUAGCAUUGCUAUACACUUGACUUGAAAAUGUCCAAAGAAAAUUGAAGAAUGCAGAACCAAGUCAUCAUUCAUCCUCUGUGGACAGUUGCUCAAUCAGCAAUUUGGCCUGCUUCAAGAAGGCACAUCUCAACAUAAAAUUCCUGUGUAGGUUAUCAGCUCUCAACCCACACCUGUCACUCAGAAUCACCUGCUGAAACAAACAUGGAGCCCACUGCUAGACCCCACCUUCCCAGCUACGGUGAAAACCCCAUCUGCUUCGGAAGCCUUCAAGGCCUCAAGUAAGCUAUGCUCAUUCUCUGGGAGCAUCCUGUCUGCAGGACUGAUGCCAGGAUUUCAAGCCUGAUUUAGUUCUCUGCUCCAUCAGGUCAGACAGGCUUUCAUUACCUGACCUCCCCAGAGGGUACUGUGGUUUCUUCCCUACUUGGACAAUUAAGAUGUGCAACAAUGUGAAAGACCAAGUGUUUCGUUGCAUACUAGGAAAAAAGAGAUACAGAAAAACAAUGAAAAUUCGGCAUUUAAUAAUAGUAAUACAUACAAUUCACAUUCUCUGUAUAACCAGUCUUUUGUUACACUUAGAAGUUGUUCUCUUAACAAAGAUAUAAAACAUUAAAUGCAACAGGCUCUUUUUAUAACUGUACAAGAUCUUUAGGCAAAAUGGAGGUUCACAAAACUGGUUCUAUAACUUUGAUAAUGGCUGUGAAAUUUUCCAUAAUUUGCCACAGGAGAUGGAGUAUUUUUUAUUGGAAAUUUAGUGAUUAAGUCAUUGUACUUCCCAAGCGGGUCUCUUAGAGUGCUGUGGAGUUAAUAGAAAUACAUACAUACACUGGAUGUUGAAGGUAGUCACCAAGGGUGGUAACUGCCUAGAAGAAAGAAUUUUAAUUGUUCUAAUAAAAUGUGUGGUUUGUUUUCAUUUUAAUAAAAGAAGAAUUAAUUGGUUUUAUUAAACUUAUCAAUAAAGGCACAAUUAAAUUUAA
Molecule: non-coding RNA, 4052 nt
Organism: Cricetulus griseus (Chinese hamster)
Lineage: Eukaryota; Metazoa; Chordata; Mammalia; Rodentia; Cricetidae
Source: RefSeq, a predicted model, not a curated record